RNAcentral lists this ribosomal RNA (477 nucleotides) under Escherichia coli. RNAcentral's name for it is "partial 23S ribosomal RNA". It matches the Rfam family "Bacterial large subunit ribosomal RNA", at positions 1189 to 1667 of the family's 2925-position model. Lineage: Bacteria; Pseudomonadati; Pseudomonadota; Gammaproteobacteria; Enterobacterales; Enterobacteriaceae. The record is from RNAcentral. RNAcentral also lists the same sequence under 1 other name.
AUGCACCGAAGCUGCGGCAGCGACACUGUGUGUUGUUGGGUAGGGGAGCGUUCUGUAAGCCUGUGAAGGUGUGCUGUGAGGCAUGCUGGAGGUAUCAGAAGUGCGAAUGCUGACAUAAGUAACGAUAAAGCGGGUGAAAAGCCCGCUCGCCGGAAGACCAAGGGUUCCUGUCCAACGUUAAUCGGGGCAGGGUGAGUCGACCCCUAAGGCGAGGCCGAAAGGCGUAGUCGAUGGGAAACAGGUUAAUAUUCCUGUACUUGGUGUUACUGCGAAGGGGGGACGGAGAAGGCUAUGUUGGCCGGGCGACGGUUGUCCCGGUUUAAGCGUGUAGGCUGGUUUUCCAGGCAAAUCCGGAAAAUCAAGGCUGAGGCGUGAUGACGAGGCACUACGGUGCUGAAGCAACAAAUGCCCUGCUUCCAGGAAAAGCCUCUAAGCAUCAGGUAACAUCAAAUCGUACCCCAAACCGACACAGGUGGU